RNAcentral lists this ribosomal RNA (499 nucleotides) under uncultured bacterium. RNAcentral describes it as "partial 16S ribosomal RNA". It matches the Rfam family "Bacterial small subunit ribosomal RNA", at positions 30 to 523 of the family's 1533-position model. The record is from RNAcentral.
AUUGAACGCUGGCGGAAUGCUUUACACAUGCAAGUCGAACGGCAGCACGGACUUCGGUCUGGUGGCGAGUGGCGAACGGGUGAGUAAUGUAUCGGAACGUGCCCAGUCGUGGGGGAUAACGUAGUGAAAAUUACGCUAAUACCGCAUACGAUCUAUGGAUGAAAGCGGGGGAUCGCAAGACCUCGCGCGAUUGGAGCGGCCGAUAUCAGACUAGGUAGUUGGUGGGGUAAAGGCCCACCAAGCCAACGAUCUGUAGCUGGUCUGAGAGGACGACCAGGCACACUGGAACUGAGACACGGUCCAGACUCCUACGGGAGGCAGCAGUGGGGAAUUUUGGACAAUGGCGAAAGCCUGAUCCAGCCAUUCCGCGUGCAGGAUGAAGGCCCUCGGGUUGUAAACUGCUUUUGUACAGAACGAAAAGGUUUCUACUAAUACUAGGAGCUCAUGACGGUACUGUAAGAAUAAGCACCGGCUAACUACGUGCCAGCCGCCGCAGUAA